GCAGUCGCCGCGGUAAUACAGAGGGUGCUAGCGUUAAUCGGAUUUACUGGGCGUAAAGCGUGCGUAGGCGGCUUCUUAAGUCGGAUGUGAAAUCCCUGAGCUUAACUUAGGAAUUGCAUUCGAUACUGGGAAGCUAGAGUAUGGGAGAGGAUGGUAGAAUUCCAGGUGUAGCGGUGAAAUGCGUAGAGAUCUGGAGGAAUACCGAUGGCGAAGGCAGCCAUCUGGCCUAAUACUGACGCUGAGGUACGAAAGCAUGGGGAGCAAACAGGAUUAGAUACCCCAGUAGUCCCUGUCUCUUAUAC
RNAcentral lists this ribosomal RNA (302 nucleotides) under uncultured bacterium. RNAcentral's name for it is "partial 16S ribosomal RNA". It matches the Rfam family "Bacterial small subunit ribosomal RNA", at positions 508 to 807 of the family's 1533-position model. The record is from RNAcentral.